AAAUGCGAUAAGUAAUGUGAAUUGCAGAAUUCAGUGAAUCAUCGAAUCUUUGAACGCACAUUGCGCCCGCCAGUAUUCUGGCGGGCAUGCCUGUUCGAGCGUCAUUUCAACCAUCAAGCCCCCGGCUUGUGUUGGGGACCUGCGGCUGCCCGCAGGCCCUGAAAAACAGUGGCGGGCUCGCUGUCACACCGAGCGUAGUAGCAUACAUUCUCGCUCAGGGCGUGCUGCGGGUUCCGGCCGUUAAACGACCUUCAUAACCCAAGGUUGACCUCGGAUCAGGUAGGAAGACCCGCUGAACUUAAGCA
RNAcentral lists this unclassified non-coding RNA (305 nucleotides) under plant metagenome. RNAcentral's name for it is "partial contains 5.8S ribosomal RNA, internal transcribed spacer 2, and large subunit ribosomal RNA". The stretch from base 1 to 104 matches the Rfam family "5.8S ribosomal RNA", at positions 51 to 154 of the family's 154-position model. The record is from RNAcentral.